CCGAGUUAUACAACUCAUCAACCCUGUGAACAUACCUAUAACGUUGCCUCGGCGGGAACAGACGGCCCCCGUAACACGGGCGCGCCCCCCGCCAGAGGACCCCCUAACUCUGUUUCUAUAAUGUUCUUUUCUUCUGAGUAAACAAGCAAAUAAAUUA
Molecule: unclassified non-coding RNA, 157 nt
Filed under: soil metagenome
Description: partial internal transcribed spacer 1
Source: RNAcentral